GCGGGGGUCGCCAAGCCUGGUCAAAGGCGCAGGCUUCAGGAGCCUGUCCCGUAGGGGUUCGUGGGUUCAAAUCCCACCCCCCGCA
Molecule: transfer RNA, 85 nt
Filed under: Candidatus Bathyarchaeota archaeon
Lineage: Archaea; Thermoproteati; Candidatus Bathyarchaeota
Description: tRNA-Leu
Rfam family: tRNA
About the family: Transfer RNA (tRNA) molecules are approximately 80 nucleotides in length. Their secondary structure includes four short double-helical elements and three loops (D, anti-codon, and T loops). Further hydrogen bonds mediate the characteristic L-shaped molecular structure. tRNAs have two regions of fundamental functional importance: the anti-codon, which is responsible for specific mRNA codon recognition, and the 3' end, to which the tRNAs corresponding amino acid is attached (by aminoacyl-tRNA synthetases). tRNAs cope with the degeneracy of the genetic code in two manners: having more than one tRNA (with a specific anti-codon) for a particular amino acid; and 'wobble' base-pairing, i.e. permitting non-standard base-pairing at the 3rd anti-codon position.
Source: RNAcentral